RNAcentral lists this ribosomal RNA (496 nucleotides) under uncultured bacterium. RNAcentral's name for it is "partial 16S ribosomal RNA". It matches the Rfam family "Bacterial small subunit ribosomal RNA", at positions 29 to 507 of the family's 1533-position model. The record is from RNAcentral.
AUGAACGCUGGCGGCGUGCCUAAUCCCUGCAAGUCGAGCGAACAGACGAGGAGCUUGCUCCUCUGACGUUAGCGGCGGACGGGUGAGUAACACGUGGAUAACCUACCUAUAAGACUGGGAUAACUUCGGGAAACCGGAGCUAAUACCGGAUAAUAUAUUGAACCGCAUGGUUCAAUAGUGAAAGACGGCUUUGCUGUCACUUAUAGAUGGAUCCGCGCCGCAUUAGCUAGUUGGUAAGGUAACGGCUUACCAAGGCAACGAUGCGUAGCCGACCUGAGAGGGUGAUCGGCCACACUGGAACUGAGACACGGUCCAGACUCCUACGGGAGGCAGCAGUAGGGAAUCUUCCGCAAUGGGCGAAAGCCUGACGGAGCAACGCCGCGUGAGUGAUGAAGGUCUUCGGAUCGUAAAACUCUGUUAUUAGGGAAGAACAAAUGUGUAAGUAACUAUGCACGUCUUGACGGUACCUAAUCAGAAAGCCACGGCUAACUACGUG